GUCCUAAGAUGAGCUCAACAAGAACAGAAAUCUUGUGUAGAAUAGAAAGGUAAAAGCUUGUUUGAUUUUAAUUUCUAGUACGAAUACGAACCGUGAAAGCAUGGCCUAACGAUCCUUUAGACCUUCGGAAUUUAAAGCUGGAGGUGUUAGAAAAGUUACCACAGGGAUAACUAGCUUGUGGCAACCUAGCAUUCAUAGCAACGUUGCUUUUUGAUCCUUCGAUGUCGGCUCUUCCUAUCAUUGUGAAGCAGAAUUCACCAAGUGUUUGAUUGUUCACCCACCAAUAGGGAACGUGAGGUGGGUUUAGACUGUUAUGAGACAAGUUAGUUUUACCCUACUGAUGACAAUACCGUAACAGUAAUUCAACCUAGUAUGAGAGGAACCGUUGAUUCGCACAAUUGGUCAUCACGCUUGGUUAAAAAGCCAGUGGCGCGAAGCUACCAUGCACUGGAUUAUGACUGAACACCUCUAAGUCAGGAUCCGGGCUAAAAGCGAUGCAUGCACCAGUCGCCCGCUUGCCGACCCGCAGUAGAGGCCGUCCGGCCUCCAAAGGCAAGUGUCGUUGGUGAAGCCCGCGUGGCGGAUGAGCCGUGCGGCCACCUUGAAGUACAAUUCCUAUCUCAAGCAGUGGGUAGAAUCCCUUGCAGACGACUUAAAUACAUGACGGGAUAUUGUUAGUGGCAAAGUGGCCUUGCUGCCACGAUCCACUGAGAU
Molecule: ribosomal RNA, 714 nt
Filed under: Camellia sinensis
Lineage: Eukaryota; Viridiplantae; Streptophyta; Magnoliopsida; Ericales; Theaceae
Description: eukaryotic LSU rRNA
Rfam family: Eukaryotic large subunit ribosomal RNA
Source: RNAcentral